GGACGUGAGGGCAACCUGGCUGUGAGGUCUGUCAUGCCAUUCAUCCCUGGGGCGAAUCUGGCUGAUCUGGCCAGCGAGGUGGGUGUCCCCUUCCUCCCUCACCGCUCUGUGUGCGUCCGUCCUGAAGCUCUCCCCUGGGUCAAAGACAGCAACCUUCCCCCUUAGAGGAAAGCUGUCCUUUGGUCACGGGCAGAAAAGGAGCUGUGCUCUCCUACUAGAACCUCCAAGCAAGUUCUCAAGAGUGUUUCCUGUAGUACCCAGGACAUACACUGUCUGGGAUCGUCUUAAAUACUACCAUUCCACCUACUCCUUGGUACGUGUCUGGUUCGUGUCUGGU
RNAcentral lists this small nuclear RNA (337 nucleotides) under Cebus imitator (Panamanian white-faced capuchin). Its description in RNAcentral is "7SK RNA (ENSCCAG00000000056.1)". It matches the Rfam family "7SK RNA". From Rfam's summary of the family: 7SK was discovered as an abundant small nuclear RNA in the mid-70s but a possible function has only recently been suggested. Two independent studies have found that 7SK RNA binds the CDK9/cyclin T complex (known as elongation factor P-TEFb). Lineage: Eukaryota; Metazoa; Chordata; Mammalia; Primates; Cebidae. The record is from Rfam by way of RNAcentral.